This 280-nucleotide ribosomal RNA is filed under the name Bacillus amyloliquefaciens. Its description in RNAcentral is "partial 16S ribosomal RNA". It matches the Rfam family "Bacterial small subunit ribosomal RNA", at positions 1226 to 1505 of the family's 1533-position model. The record is from RNAcentral. Lineage: Bacteria; Bacillati; Bacillota; Bacilli; Caryophanales; Bacillaceae.
UACAAUGGGCAGAACAAAGGGCAGGAAACCGCGAGGUUAAGCCAAUCCCACAAAUCUGUUCUCAGUUCGGAUCGCAGUCUGCAACUCGACUGCGUGAAGCUGGAAUCGCUAGUAAUCGCGGAUCAGCAUGCCGCGGUGAAUACGUUCCCGGGCCUUGUACACACCGCCCGUCACACCACGAGAGUUUGUAACACCCGAAGUCGGUGAGGUAACCUUUUUGGAGCCAGCCGCCGAAGGUGGGACAGAUGAUUGGGGUGAAGUCGUAACAAGGUAGCCUGUU